Molecule: ribosomal RNA, 274 nt
Filed under: uncultured bacterium
Lineage: Bacteria
Description: partial 16S ribosomal RNA
Rfam family: Bacterial small subunit ribosomal RNA
Source: RNAcentral
AUACGGAGGGAGCAAGCGUUAUUCGGAAUCACUGGGCGUAAAGGACGCGUAGGCGGGUUUGUAAGUCAGGUGUGAAAUCCUACAGCUCAACUGUAGAACUGCACUUGAAACUACAGACCUAGAGUAUGGAAGGGGCAGAUGGAAUUAGUGGCGUAGGGGUAAAAUCCGUAGAUAUCACUAGGAAUACCGAAAGCGAAGGCGAUCUGCUGGGACAUUACUGACGCUGAGGCGUGAAAGCGUGGGGAGCAAACAGGAUUAGAAACCCCAGUAGUCC